This 337-nucleotide ribosomal RNA is filed under the name uncultured bacterium. RNAcentral's name for it is "bacterial SSU rRNA". It matches the Rfam family "Bacterial small subunit ribosomal RNA", at positions 28 to 365 of the family's 1533-position model. The record is from RNAcentral.
GACGAACGCUGGCGGCGUGCCUAACACAUGCAAGUCAACUUGAGGGUAAGGAGCAAUCUGACCUGAUGGUGGCGCAAGGGUGCGUAACGCGUAAGUAACUUGCCCAAGGUAAGGAAUAACGUCGAGAAAUCGGCGCUAAUACCUCAUAAUGCAGCGGAUCCGCAUGGAUAUGUUGUUAAAGGUUUACCGCCUUGGGAUAGGCUUGCGUCUGAUUAGCUAGUUGGUGUGGUAAUGGCACACCAAGGCUACGAUCAGUAACUGGUCUGAGAGGAUGAUCAGUCACACUGGAACUGAGACACGGUCCAGACUCCUACGGGAGGCAGCAGUGAGGAAUAUU